This 838-nucleotide ribosomal RNA is filed under the name uncultured bacterium. RNAcentral's name for it is "bacterial SSU rRNA". It matches the Rfam family "Bacterial small subunit ribosomal RNA", at positions 8 to 843 of the family's 1533-position model. The record is from RNAcentral.
AGAGUUUGAUCCUGGCUCAGGACGAACGCUGGCGGCGUGCCUAACACAUGCAAGUCGAACGGAACUGUUUUGAAAGAUUUCUUCGGAAUGAAUUUGAUUUAGUUUAGUGGCGGACGGGUGAGUAACGCGUGAGUAACCUGCCUUCAAGAGGGGGAUAACAUUCUGAAAAGAAUGCUAAUACCGCAUGACAUAUCGGAACCACAUGGUUUUGAUAUCAAAGAUUUUAUCGCUUGAAGAUGGACUCGCGUCCGAUUAGUUAGUUGGUGAGGUAACGGCUCACCAAGACCGCGAUCGGUAGCCGGACUGAGAGGUUGAACGGCCACAUUGGGACUGAGACACGGCCCAGACUCCUACGGGAGGCAGCAGUGGGGGAUAUUGCGCAAUGGGGGCAACCCUGACGCAGCAACGCCGCGUGAAGGAUGAAGGUUUUCGGAUUGUAAACUUCUUUUAUUAAGGACGAAAAAUGACGGUACUUAAUGAAUAAGCUCCGGCUAACUACGUGCCAGCAGCCGCGGUAAUACGUAGGGAGCAAGCGUUGUCCGGAUUUACUGGGUGUAAAGGGUGCGUAGGCGGCUUUGCAAGUCAGAUGUGAAAUCUAUGGGCUCAACCCAUAAACUGCAUUUGAAACUGUAGAGCUUGAGUGAAGUAGAGGCAGGCGGAAUUCCCCGUGUAGCGGUGAAAUGCGUAGAGAUGGGGAGGAACACCAGUGGCGAAGGCGGCCUGCUGGGCUUUAACUGACGCUGAGGCACGAAAGCGUGGGUAGCAAACAGGAUUAGAUACCCUGGUAGUCCACGCUGUAAACGAUGAUUACUAGGUGUGGGGGGUCUGACCCCUUCCG